RNAcentral lists this ribosomal RNA (402 nucleotides) under Pericapritermes nigerianus. RNAcentral describes it as "partial 12S ribosomal RNA". Lineage: Eukaryota; Metazoa; Arthropoda; Insecta; Blattodea; Termitidae. The record is from RNAcentral.
UUUUGGAUGUAAAUUUUGUGUGCUUGAGUAGUAUUAGUUAUGUUCUUGAAACUUAAAGAAUUUGGCGGUAUCUCAUUCCGUCCAGAGGAAUCUGUCCCGUUAUCGAUAGUCCGCGUUGGACCUUACUUAGUUGCUUUGGUUUGUAUACCGCCGUUUAUUGAUUAUCUUUUUAGGGUUUUUUAAUUUUCUGGUUUCUUUAUUUUGGUUUAUUUCAGGUCAAGGUGCAGCUUGUUUCUAAGUGGAAUUAGAUGGAUUACAUUGUUAUUGGUUUUGGAUUGUCAUUUUAAAUAUUGGCAUGAAAUUGGAUUUGGUUGUAAUGAUUUGUAGAUUGUUAUUAUGAUAAUGGUUCUGGGAUAUGUACACAUCGCCCGUCGCUCUCGUUUAUUGUUAAUGAGAUAAGUC